CGGGUGAGUAACGCGUGGGUAACCUGCCUCAUACAGGGGGAUAACAGUUAGAAAUGACUGCUAAUACCGCAUAAGCGCACAGUGCUGCAUGGCACAGUGUGAAAAACUCCGGUGGUAUGAGAUGGACCCGCGUCUGGUUAGCUAGUUGGUGGGGUAACGGCCUACCAAGGCGACGAUCAGUAGCCGGCCUGAGAGGGUGAACGGCCACAUUGGGACUGAGACACGGCCCAA
RNAcentral lists this ribosomal RNA (231 nucleotides) under uncultured bacterium. RNAcentral describes it as "partial 16S ribosomal RNA". It matches the Rfam family "Bacterial small subunit ribosomal RNA", at positions 103 to 334 of the family's 1533-position model. The record is from RNAcentral.